Molecule: ribosomal RNA, 486 nt
Filed under: uncultured bacterium
Lineage: Bacteria
Description: partial 16S ribosomal RNA
Rfam family: Bacterial small subunit ribosomal RNA
Source: RNAcentral
AUUGAACGCUGGCGGCAUGCCUUACACAUGCAAGUCGAACGGCAGCACGGGUGCUUGCACCUGGUGGCGAGUGGCGAACGGGUGAGUAAUACAUCGGAACAUGUCCUGUAGUGGGGGAUAGCCCGGCGAAAGCCGGAUUAAUACCGCAUACGAUCUACGGAUGAAAGCGGGGGACCGUCGGGCCUCGCGCUAUAGGGUUGGCCGAUGGCUGAUUAGCUAGUUGGUGGGGUAAAGGCCUACCAAGGCGACGAUCAGUAGCUGGUCUGAGAGGACGACCAGCCACACUGGGACUGAGCCACGGCCCCGACUCCUACGGGAGGCAGCAGUGGGGAAUUUUGGACAAUGGGCGAAAGCCUGAUCCAGCAAUGCCGCGUGUGUGAAGAAGGCCUUCGGGUUGUAAAGCACUUUUGUCCGGAAAGAAAUCCUUGGCCCUAAUACGGUCGGGGGAUGACGGUACCGGAAGAAUAAGCACCGGCUAACUACGUG